AUUGAACGCUGGCGGCAGGCCUAACACAUGCAAGUCGAGCGGAUGAAGGGAGCUUGCUCCUGGAUUCAGCGGCGGACGGGUGAGUAAUACCUAGGAAUCUGCCUGGUAGUGGGGGAUAACGUCCGGAAACGGGCGCUAAUACCGCAUACGUCCUGAGGGAGAAAGUGGGGGAUCUUCGGACCUCACGCUAUCAGAUGAGCCUAGGUCGGAUUAGCUAGUUGGUGGGGUAAAGGCCUACCAAGGCGACGAUCCGUAACUGGUCUGAGAGGAUGAUCAGUCACACUGGAACUGAGACACGGUCCAGACUCCUACGGGAGGCAGCAGUGGGGAAUAUUGGACAAUGGGCGAAAGCCUGAUCCAGCCAUGCCGCGUGUGUGAAGAAGGUCUUCGGAUUGUAAAGCACUUUAAGUUGGGAGGAAGGGCAGUAAGUUAAUACCUUGCUGUUUUGACGGUACCAACAGAAUAAGCACCGGCUAACUUCGUG
RNAcentral lists this ribosomal RNA (484 nucleotides) under uncultured bacterium. RNAcentral describes it as "partial 16S ribosomal RNA". It matches the Rfam family "Bacterial small subunit ribosomal RNA", at positions 30 to 507 of the family's 1533-position model. The record is from RNAcentral.